UACAGAGGGGGCAAGCGUUGUUCGGAAUUACUGGGCGUAAAGGGCGCGUAGGCGGCCUGCUAAGUCGAACGUGAAAUCCCUGGGCUCAACCCAGGAACUGCGUCCGAUACUGGUUGGCUUGAAUCCGGGAGAGGGAUGUGGAAUUCCAGGUGUAGCGGUGAAAUGCGUAGAUAUCUGGAGGAACACCGGUGGCGAAGGCGGCAUCCUGGACCACGACUGACGCUGAGGAGCGAAAGCCAGGGGAGCAAACGGG
RNAcentral lists this ribosomal RNA (253 nucleotides) under uncultured bacterium. RNAcentral describes it as "partial 16S ribosomal RNA". It matches the Rfam family "Bacterial small subunit ribosomal RNA", at positions 524 to 776 of the family's 1533-position model. The record is from RNAcentral.